This 1419-nucleotide ribosomal RNA is filed under the name Triticum aestivum (bread wheat). RNAcentral describes it as "partial small subunit ribosomal RNA". The record is from RNAcentral. Lineage: Eukaryota; Viridiplantae; Streptophyta; Magnoliopsida; Poales; Poaceae.
AUGGCGUUGCAAUUACAGCAAACAAUGGCCACCACGAGCACAUGCUUCCGGACGUCGUGGCCGGCAACGGUCGAUAAAUUGAAGGCCGAUGUGAGGGAGCGGCUGGUGGCGGCGAGCCGAGGCGGCCACCAAACUGCCAUGCUCGGGCUUGUCGACACGGUGCAACGGCUCGGCAUCGCCUACCAUUUCGAAGAGGAGAUCGCUGGUAUCCUCAGGUCCGUCCACCAAAAGCCUCACCGGUGCAGCUGGGAUGAUGGUGAUGUUGCUUCCGCAGCCUUGAGGUUCAGGUUGCUCAGGGACAGUGGUUUCCCUGUCUUCUUCCCUCCAGGCGACGUCAAGGGACUCCUCUCGCUCUAUGAGGCUUCAUACCUUGCGUUUGGAGGCGAGGAAUCAUUGGACAAGGCUAGAGCAUUUUCUAAAAAAGCUCUCAGAGAGCACUUGUCAUCCAUGGAUCACCACUUACGCCAAAGUGUGGUCCGUGCUUUGGACCUUCCAUUGCACCGAAGGUCUCCUAGACUAGAAGCAAGAUGGUUCAUAGAUCCCUACUCUAGAGAUGAGAGCAAUUCCGACCCGUUGCUCAUUGGAUUUGCAAAGGUGGACUUCAACAAUGUGCAAAGUGUGAACCAGGAAGAACUCGCUAGAUUGGCAAGUUCUCUUGAUGAUGUUUAUGAUGUGUAUGGAACUCUGGAUGAACUCGCCCUCUUCACCCACGCCAUUGGAAGAUGGGAAGAAAGACCCAGUGAAAUGCUCCCAGAAUACAUGCAAGUACUCUAUUCCGUCAUGUACAACACAUCCGCCGAGGUGGCUGAAAAUGUGUUUAAACAACAUGGUUGCGACGCUCGUAAUUUUCUUCAGGAAGCGUGGCGAGACAUGGCAGAGUCUUUCCUGGUGGAGGCAAAGUGGCACCAUGGAAACCAGAGACCAACACUGCAUGAGUAUCUUGACAAUGGAUCAAUUUCGUCCUCUGCUCCACUGUUGCUGCAACAUGUGUUUCCCCUGCUCCACGUGGAAGAAAAGCUUACCCCAAUGUUACUCGCUAAAGUUGGAAGCUACCCCAAAUUAGUUCAGUCUGCGUCCUUAGUUCUUUGCCUCUGCAACGACUCUGCAACCCACUCUGCGGAGCUGGACCGAGGGGAUGCACCAUCGUCAAUAUCUAUUCACAUGUCGGAGAACAGCUCCAAUGAGCAAGAGUCUCGCGAAUCCAUGGAAGAUCUUACCAUGGAAGCUUGGAAGUCGAUUAACGAAGAUGCAUUCAAACACUGCCGAUUUUCUAGAUAUUUUGCCAAGACUUGCGUGAAUUUGGCUCGAAUCUCACAUUGUAUUUACCAAGGUGGGGAUGGUUUCGGUGCGCCGGAUGAUCAGAAGAAAAGGCAAAUCAGAGAGUUGUACUUUGACUCUUUCAUGACUAAGAAACAUUAA